GAGUUUGAUCCUGGCUCAGGACGAACGCUGGCGGCGCGCCUAACACAUGCAAGUCGAACGAGCGAGAGAGAGCUUGCUUUCUCGAGCGAGUGGCGAACGGGUGAGUAACGCGUGAGGAACCUGCCUCAAAGAGGGGGACAACAGUUGGAAACGACUGCUAAUACCGCAUAAGCCCACGGGUCGGCAUCGACCAGAGGGAAAAGGAGCAAUCCGCUUUGAGAUGGCCUCGCGUCCGAUUAGCUAGUUGGUGAGGUAACGGCCCACCAAGGCAACGAUCCAUAGCCGGACUGAGAGGGUGACCGGCCACAUUGGGACUGAGACACGGCCCAGACUCCUACGGGAGGCAGCAGUGGGGAAUAUUGCACAAUGGGCGAAAGCCUGAUGCAGCGACGCCGCGUGAGCGAAGAAGUAUUUCGGUAUGUAAAGCUCUAUCAGCAGGGAAGACAGUGACGGUACCUGACUAAGAAGCUCCGGCUAAAUACGUGCCAGCCGCCGCGGUAAUAC
This 504-nucleotide ribosomal RNA is filed under the name uncultured bacterium. Its description in RNAcentral is "bacterial SSU rRNA". It matches the Rfam family "Bacterial small subunit ribosomal RNA", at positions 9 to 526 of the family's 1533-position model. The record is from RNAcentral.